ACCAAUUCACAUUUUUUAAUCCCUCUUAAUCACAAUAGGCACAGUACCCUCACCAAUUUGACCCCAAUGCAAUUUCUUCUCACUUUCCCACUAAAAAACAAAAAGGUACGUUCCAUUGUCCCAAGGGGUUCACAUUUUUUGGGAUUUCUGAUUCAAGCACAGUUCCAUAAGGAAAAAAGAUAAAAAAGGAGAUAGAGAAACAGAGUGAGGGCGAACCCUAAGAAGAAGAGAGAACAGCUGCCCACCCUAAGCUUCUUCUUCAACACCAAAAAUCAACAGCCGCAACUCCAUCCCUCACCACCAAGCAGCGCCUCCAAACACCACGGCCGCACUCACCAUCUCCGCGCCUCCGCCAGUCACCCCACUCGCCAGAAAUUCCUGUUUUGGUGCCAAAGAGUGCAGGGCUCUUGUUGUUGAGAUCUUAAAAAUUGUCCGCAUUAGAGAAAAACAGACAGAUCCGGAAGAACAAAUACAAAUUAAGAGAAGCUAAUCCGAGGUUGCCGUUCGAAGGUUUCCGGCCUAACGUUGCAGAUUCGAAGGAUAGAUUUUUUCAUCUAACUUGUUGUUCAAGUUCCGCAUUUGAUUGAGUUCAUAUCAAUUGUUCAUUGGUUGUGGCUGUUCUUCUAAAACUUUGCACAUCCGGACAGAAGUUAAUUAAAAAUUCAUUCAAGGUCCAUUCCAACCUUUAAUAUUUUACCUCCUGAUAUUUGUCACAUAUGUGUUUGAAUGGCAUAUGCGUACAUUUUCCAUGACUAUUUGUGGUAUUUUUGAUCUUAUGAUAAAAGUUGGUUAAUUGACACAUUUUGACGUCACUGAUUUAAUCAAAUGGUACCGCACCUUAAAUUGAAUAAGAGGUCCAGAUCUGAAAGCUUAUUUGGAAUUGAUUUCAAGGGUUGUUCGGUAAAAUUAAAAUAAAUUAGGUGCAAGAUAAACUAUAUUUUUCUUUUAUUCUUGUUUUAUUUACUUCUUCGGGUAGGAGCAUAUCUAGGCCGACCAUAUUUGGGUAGGCAAGUCUUAGGAUUUUUGUUAGUUUCGAGGUGAGAGAUUGUUCCCUUAGUUAAAUUUAUCCGGGGAAUGCCUCGAAGGAUUUGUAUAUAUUUUUAUCCGGAGUAUGCCCCGAAAUAUUUGUAUUUGGAAGCCGAAAGUAGAACUCGUAAUAUUUAAUUUUAAUUUUAAUUUUUUUCUUUUAUUAGAUGGGGACGACUUCGAGCAUCUUGUGUGUUUGUUUUUCUUUUCUGUGUUUGUUCUUAUCUCAAUUUGAAUAUUUUAAAAGCCAACUUGAUCAUCUAUGCAACCGUACUAGUUACGGGACUCGGGGAAUGCCUAACACCUUCUCCCCGAGUUAAAUGGACCCCCUUAUCCGAAUCUCUGGUGUAGAUUUAGUUUUGGAGUCCAAAGUGUUUUAAAAGGAAAAUCAUUUUAAAAACGGUGACCUGACACACCGAAACCAAUGUCAGGUGACGAUUUUGAGUUAUUUUCUUUUGAACACAAUUUUGUCAUUUUUUAAUUAAAAACCCUUUUGAGCUUUACAAAUCUUUUUAUUAAUUUAAGAGGGUUUAGUGAAGUUGGUAAAAAAGGGGUGUGACAACGACCUGACCGGUUGUUUGCUUUCUAGAAUCCCUUUCCCCUAAAUAAGACUUUUCGUACUUGCUUUUACUGAUUUAUAUCUUGAGGGGAUGGUUGUUUCGGGGUUUGCAAGAGCUUGGGUUGAAAUCGAAACACUUGGUUCCUUAAGGUUGGCUUAAAAGACCAAGUUUAACUUCGGUCAACAUUUUGAGUAAACGAUACCGAAAUCAGAAUUUGACGGUUUCAGUAGGUUCGUAUGAUGAUUUUGGACUUGAGCGUAUAUUCGGAUCGAGUUUUGGAUGACCCGGGAGCAUUUCGGCGCCUAAUAGUGAAAGUUGGUUCUUUAAGGAUUUUGAAGUUCUUUAAAUUUGGUUUAGAGUGAGUUUUGGUGCUAUUGAGGUCCGAAUUGAAUUCGGAGACUGGGAAUAGUUUUGUAAUGUCAUUAAAGACCUGCACGCAAAAUCUGGUGUCACUCCGAGUAGUAUAAGUACGUUUCGGCGCAUUGGAAGUAAAUUGAAGAACUUGAAGUUCAUAAGUUUGAAUCAAUUGGUUUUAGGGUGUGAUUCCUAGUUGUUCUUAGGGUUCGAGCGAGUCCGUUUUAUCAUUCCAAACUUGUGGGUAUGUUCGGGCGGGGCUCUGGGGGCCCUGAGCGUCAAUCGGACGAGGCUCAGACUAAUUUGAAAAAUAUGAGCAAGAGCUGAAGCCCCAGCUUCUGUCAUAAUCGCACCUACAGUUGGUCAGCCGCAGGUGCGAGCUUGCAGGUACGGCCAAGGGUGGGAAGCCCAGAACCGCAGAUGCGGCCCAUCCUUUGCAGAAGCAGAACCGCAAAUGUGGUGGGCCUUUCGCAGAAGCGGCCCCAGCCAGCCCAGUGAAUUCCCCAGAAGCGAACCAUUUUUCGCAGAUGCGGCCUAUGACCGCAGGUGCGGAAAUCACUGAAGGUAGUGGCCUUCAUUUAAUACGGGCCUUAGACGUUUUUGACUCAUUCCACUCCAUUGUUGGGCAAUUUUAGAGCUUCUUGAGAGAGGUUUUUCACCAAGCUUUUGGAGGUAAGUAAUUCCUACUAUAUGUGAGUUAAAUACUUAGAUUUUAGGUAGAUUAACAUGUAAAGAUUAGUGAAAAUCAUAGGAUUAAAGGAAAACCUAGGGUUUGGCAAGAAUGAGAUUUUACCACGAAACUGACCAUGAAACUUAGUGAUAAUCAUAUAUUUUUAUUCCUUAGGUUAUGGAUAACAACUUUCUUUGAAAAUUUUUGAAUUCCGGGCACAUGGGCCCGGGGGUGAAUUUUAGGAAUCUUGCCUUUGGGGUUGGGAAGUCACCUUAAUAGUUAGGAUAUGAACUUUUGAACCUGUAGAGAUUGGUUUUUACAUUAUUUGAAUAGUUUUGGAUUGUUCGGCUCCGAUUUGAGGGUUUGAGUGCAUUCUCGAGUUUGGAAGUAGGCUUUGAAGCAAGGUAAGUCUCCUUUCUAACCUUGUAAGAGAAAAAUUUCCCCAUAGGUGAUUUUAAUUUAAAAUGUAAGUAUUUAUGGGGGCUACGUACGCACGAAGUGACGAGCGUCCGUACGUAGCUACUAUUCCUGUUAUGUACAGGUGGUUUAGGUUGACACCAUGCUUUGUGAAUACCGUUAUUUAAUGAUACUUGGUACUUGUAUUAAAUGGAAUUAAGUUGAGACUUUUAAGGAUUUAAAGCUUCAAGUUGAAUUACCUUUAUUUUAAAGAAAAGAAUUUAAUGAAUUUGAUUUAAAUGAUUAAAUUUAAAUUUGAUCGUGUCUCAUGAAUGAUUCGCGAGCGGGGUGAAUAGAUGCAUCUAUGGUUCGCGCCGUUCGACCCUCCGGCAGUGCAAUUUUAUUAUUAUGUUGGAUCAGGCCGUACGACCUCGACAUAACUUACACAUGCUAUUUAUUUGUGAACUUUCUGUGAUUUGUAUUGCUUAAUGCCUUGAAUGUAAAUUGUUAAAUGAUAUGAAUGAAAUUUACAUUAUAUUAAUGAAAGAAGAACUUGUCACUUCCUGAUAUUUAGUGUCGAUUUUUUUAUGAUAUCCAUGCUUAGCAUAACACUUUAUUUAUAUUAUUGUUGGCCCUAGUAAGUGUUAAGUCGACCCCUCGUCACUACUUCUUUGAGGUUAGACUGGAUACUUAUCGGGUACGUAUUGUUUAUAUACUCAUACUAUGCUUCUGUACUUAAUUGUACAGGAUUUGAGGCUGGUGCAUCUAGUUACCCACCCGGCACACAUUCUUUAUAUCGGUUCGAGACUUCACGGUGAGUUGCCCCCUUUCCGAGCCAUCCAACAGCAUCGUCGGAGUUUCUCUUUUGUUGUAUCUAUUUAUACUAUCUCAGACAGUAGGAUAGUUAUAUUUUUGUACAUUCUACUAGUUGCCCUCGUACUUGUGACACUAGAUCCUGUCACACACAUUAGUAGACUAUUAUUUUUGGGUGUAAGAUUAUAUUCAUGAUUUCCUCUAGUGGUUCCUCCAUUAGUUACCUUGUAAUUUCAUUAAGUACUAAAUGCUUAAAUUUAAAUAAAAUUUGUGGUCGGAAAUUCUUAAAUAAAAAUAGAAAUUACUAGGUUGUCCACGGUUGGACUGUCUAGCGGCGGAUGCUGGAUGCCAUCACGACCUGACAUGAAAUUGGAUAAUGACAACAUGGUAUCAGAGCACUAGGUUCACGUAGGUCUCACAAGUGAUAGGCAGACCUCAUAGAUCUUGCGGAUCAGUGUGGAGACGUCCAUACUAAUUUUCGAGAGGCUAUAGGGAGUUAGGAAACUACUCUUUAUUCAUCUUCUAUCGUGCAAUUGAUGGUAUACUAAAUUCUCUCUCUUAUUCUCUCACAGAUGGUGAGAACGCGCACAACAGACAUCCCAGACUGGGGAAGAGCUGCUCCCCCAGACUAGAGGCCGAGGUAGGGGUCGGGGGAGGGAACCGACCCGAGGUAGGGGACGAGGACGUCCUAGAGUUGCCCUAGUUGCACCACCAGUGGAUCCAGUAGAGGAUCCCAUCAUUAAAGAUCAGGGCGAGGUGCCCGUAGCAGAGCCUGCCCCGGUGGAUUUCAUGACAACACCGAGCUUUCAGGAGGUCAUGGGUUGUAUGCUGCGGUUCAUGGAUUCUAUAACUAAGGCUGGUUUAUUUCCAACAGACCCAGCCACAUCUCAGGCGGUAGGCAGAGCACAGACCCCUAAUGUUCAGGCUCCUUGGCAUGCAACCGCAUUGUAUCAGACUCUGGGCACACUACCCACGGAUGGGGCCCAGCCAGUUACAAUAGUGGCACCUGAUCCCAGACCAGCUGCGGAUGACGACCCGCAGAAGUUAUUGGAUAGAUGGACUAGGCUACACCCUCCUAUCUUUGGAGGUGAGCAUCAUAAGGAUGCCCAGGAUUUCAUUGAUAGGUGCAGGGAUAGACUGCACUACAUGAGGAUAUUGGAGUCUCAUGGGGUUGACUUCACUACUUUCCAGCUAGAGGGCAGGGCUUGUAGAUGGUGGCAGUCUUAUGUUCUUGACAGGCCAGCGGGUUCCCCUCUCAUUACUUGGGGCCAUUUCACAUAUCUUUUCUUGGAUAAGUAUAAUCCACCCUCCGAGAGGGAAGAGUUGCGGUAUCAGUUUGAGCAGCUUGAGCAGGGUCAGAUGUCAGUGACCAACUAUGAGGCGAGGUUUUCUGAGUUAUCUCGUCAUGCACUCAUGAUACUUCCUACUAACCCAGAGAGAGUGCGGAGAUUUGUUGCGGGGUUGCACUCCGGUAGUAGGGCCAAAUGGGGACUCCUUAACAGUUGGUAGUGGAGAUUGCUCAGAGGAUCGAGGGCUAGCAUCAGAGGGGUAGAGAGCAGAUACAGUAGGACAAGAGGGCCCAUUUCUUUGGAGAGUUUAGAGGUGCCUUGGCUAGGGGCAGAGGUCAGUUUGGGAGGGGCCAACCCAGCAGGCCCCCAUAUUCAGAACCACCACCACCUUCUCGAGGUGCUCCAGUGAGGCCUUAUUUCAAUGAGAUGUCGGAGAGUUCUUACCGCUUGCCAGCUAUUCAGGGUUCCUCUGGUGGGUAUUCUGGUCAUCAGGGUACUUCCCGCGCUUAUUUCAGUGCCAUGCCAGAGAGUUCAUACCGCACACCAGCCGUUCAGGGUCCUUCUAGUUGGUAUUCAGGCCAUCAGGGUCAGACUUCGGGACAUCAGUCUAUGUUACCGAGAGGUUGUUACGAGUGUGGAGAUUUGGGUCACAUAAAGAGGACCUACCCCAGACUUCGGGGAAAGGCAGUGCAGCAGGGUUAGUAGCCCAUGAUUUCAGCUCUGCUAGCCCCGUCAGCUUUUCAGCCGCCUAGAGACGGGGGGCAGACAGGUAGAGGUCGUCCUAGAGGUGGAGGAUAGUCAGGUGGAGGCCAGCCAGCCGAUGCUCCAGCUAGAUUCUAUGCUUUUUCGGCCAGACCAAAUGCAAUGGCCUCAUAUACCGUGAUAACAGGUAUUAUUCCGUCUGCGGUAGGGAUGCUUCGGUAUUAUUUGAUCCAGGGUCUACCUAUUCAUAUGCGUCAUCUCUGUUUGCUCAUUUCAUGGAUAUCCCUUGUGAGUCUUUAGGUACUCCUAUUAAUGUGUCCACUCCUGUGGGUGAUUCUGUGGUUGUGGAUCAGAUCUACCGGUCCUGUGUGGUUACAUUCUGUGGUUACGAGACUAGAGCAGACCUUCUGUUACUUGAUAUGAUCGACUUUGAGGUCAUCCUGGGCAUGGAUUGGUUAUCUCCAUAUCACGCCAUCCUUGAUUAUCAUGCCAAGAGUGUUACUUUAGCAAUGCCAGAGUUGCCGAGAUUGGAGUGGAAGGGUUCCUCCGUUAGUACAUCUAGUCGGGUUAUCUCGUUUCUGAAGGCUCGACAUCUGGUCGAGAAGGGUUGUUUGGCGUAUCUAGCAUAUGUCCGAGACACCACCGUAGAGUCUCCGAUGACUGAUUUAGUGCCAGUAGUGCGGGAGUUCGCCGAUGUGUUUCCUUCUGACCUUCCAGGCAUGCUGCUAGAUCGUGACAUUGAUUUCUAUAUUGAUUUGGCUCCAGGUUCCCAACCUAUAUCUAUCCCACCGUACCAUAUGGCUCCAAAAGAGUUGAAGGAGCUGAAGGAACAGCUUGAGCAGUUAUUAGAAAAGGGGUUUGUUAGACCAAGUGUAUUACCUUGGGGUGCACCAGUGUUAUUUGUAAAGAAGAAAGAUGAGACUAUGCGGAUGUGCAUUGACUACCGUCAGUUGAACAAAGUUACCAUCAAGAACAAGUACCCGUUGCCGUGUAUCGAUGAUUUGUUUCACCAGUUGCAAGGUACUAGGGUGUUUUCUAAGAUCGACUUGAGAUUGGGGUACCAUCAGUUGAAGAUUCGGGACUCAGAUGUUCCAAAGACUGCUUUCCGCACUAGAUAUGGCCAAUAUGAGUUCUUAGUGAUGUCCUUUGGAUUGACUAAUGCCCCAUCGGAAUUUAUGGAUUUGAUGAACCGGGUGUUCAGGCCUUAUAUUGAUUCUUUUGUUAUCGUCUUCAUUGAUGACAUCUUGAUUUACUCACGCAGCCUGGGGGAGCACGAGCAACAUUUGAGAGUGGUGCUUCAGACAUUAAGGGAAUAAAAGCUAUUUGCUAAGUUCUCCAAGUGUGAGUUUUGUCUAGAGUCUGUGGCAUUCUUGGGGCAUGUUGUAUCAGGAGAGGGUAUUAAGGUGGAUCCCAAGAAGAUUGAGGCAGUUCAGAGUUGGCCACGUCCCACUUCAGUGACUGAGAUCAGGAGUUUCCUAGGGCUAGCAGGUUAUUAUCACCAAUUUGUGUAGGGGUUUUCAUCCAUUGCAACACCUUUGACUAGAUUGACCCAGAAGGGUGCUCCUUUCCGUUGGUCUGAUGGUUAUGAGGCGAGCUUUCAGAAGCUCAUGACAGCUUUGACUACGACACCAGUUCUAGUGUUGCCUUCCGGUUCGGGGAUGUAUACUGUGUAUUAUGAUGCUUUACGCGUUGGUUUGGGUUUUGUAUUGAUGCAGGAGGGGCAAGUUAUUGCAUAUGCUUCACGUCAGCUGAGGAUUCAUGAGAAGAAUUGCCCUGUGCACGAUCUAGAGUUAGCAACGAUUGUUCAUGCUAUUAAGAUAUGGAGUCAUUAUUUGUAUGGGGUGUCAUGUGAGGUUUAUACUGACCAUCACAACUUACAACAUUUAUUCAAGCAGAUGGAUCUCAAUUUGAGGCAUAUAGAUGGCUUAAGUUACUGAAGGAUUAUGAUAUCACCAUUCUUUAUCAUCCGGGCAAGGCAAAUGUGGUUGCGGAUGCCUUAAGUAGGAAGGCAGAGAGUAUGGGUAGCUUGACAUUCAUUUCAGCAGAGGAGAGGCCACUAGCUUUGGACAUUCAUUCCUUGGCUAACAGACUUGUGAGGUUGGAUAUUUCUUAGCCUAGUCGAGUUCUUGCAUGUGUUGAUGCCCAGUCCUUACUAUUGGGAAAGAUCAAGGCUCGGUAGUUUGAUGAUCUGCAUUUGGCAGUUCUCAGAGAGAUGGUACUACAAGAUAGUGCCAAGGAGGUUUCAAUUGGCGAGGAUGGUGUUCUGUGACUCGAUGGUCGUCUAUGUGUUCCUAAUGUCGAUGGCUUGAGGGAGAGGAUUCUGUAGAAGGCACACAGUUCACAGUAUUCUAUUCAUCCCAGUGCUACGGAGAUGUAUCAUGACGUGAGGCAGCAUUAUUGGUGACGGCGAAUGAAGAAAGACAUAAUGGAGUAUGUAGCUAGAUGCCUAAAUUGUCAGCAUGUCAAGUAUGAGCACCAGAGGCCAUGUAGCCUACUUCAGCAGAUGACUAUAUCUAAAUGGAAAUGGGAGCGCAUCACUAUGGCCUUUGUAGUUGGAUUGCCGCAGACCUUGCGAAAGUUUGAUGCACUUUGGGUCAUUAUCAACUGGUUGACCAAGUCGGCACACUUCACUCCGGUUGCGACUACCUAUACUUCAGAGACGUUGGCCCAGAUUUACAUUCGGGAGAUAGUUUGGUUGUACGGUGUGCCUGUGUCCAUCAUAUCAGAUAGAUUCCCUUAGUUCACUUCCUAUUUCUGGAGAGCCGUACAGAGUGAGUUAGGGACCCGCAUAGAGCUCAGCAUAACAUUUCAUCCUCAGACUGACGGGCAGUCGGAGCGGAUAGUUCAGAUAUUAGAGGAUAUGUUGAGAGCAUGUGUGAUUGACUUUGAAGGACAAUGGGAUCAGUUCUUGCCUUUGGUUGAGUUUGCUUACAACAACAACUAUUAGUCCAGCAUUGAGAUGGCUCCAUUUGAGGCUUUAUAUGGUCGGUGAUGUCGAUCUCCUAUCGGGUGGUUUGAGCCUAGUGAGGCUAAGUUAUACGGUACUGAUUUGGUAAAGGAUGCCUUGGAAAAGGUAAGGUUGAUUCAGGAGAGACUUCACACAGAACGGUCCAGACAGAAGAGUUACGCAGAUCAGAAGGCAUGUGAUGUAUCAUUUAUGGUCGGUGAGAAGGUUCUCUUGAAAGUGUCACCAAUGAAGGGUAUUGUGAGAUUCGGGAAGAAGGGCAAGUUGAGCCCAAGGUUUAUAGGCCCAUUUGAGGUGUUAAGGCGAGUUGGGGAGGUUGCUUAUGAGCUUUCUUUACCUCCCAGCCUAUUAGGGGUUCAUCUAGUUUUUCACGUGUCUAUGCUCUAGAGUACCACGCCAAUUUGUCUCAUGUGUUAGACUUCAGUACUAUUCAGCUAGAUGAGAGCUUGGGUUACGAGGAAGAGCCAGUUGCUAGAUAGGAUCGGCAGUUGAGAUCCAAGAGAAGUUCCGCAGUAAAGGUUCAUGUUGGAGGGGCCAACCGAUAGAAGAGUCUACUUGGGAGUCCGAGGAGGACAUGCAUAGCAGAUAUCCACACUUAUUCAGCACUUCAGGUAUGAAUCUAAACCCGUCUGAGGACGAACGUUUGUUUAAGAGGCAGAGAAUGUAACAACCCAAUCGAUUAUUUUUCUUUCUAGAACCCCGUUCCCCUAAAUAAGACUUCCCGUACUUGCUUUUACUGAUUUAUGACUUGCGGGGAUGGUUGGUUCGGGGUUUGGAAGAGUUUGGGUUGAAAUCGGAACACUUGGUUCCUUAAAGUUGACUUAAAGGCCAAGUUUGACUUCGGUCAAUAUUUUGAGUAAACAACCUCGAAAUUGGGAUUUGACGGUUCCAGUAGGUUCAUAUGAUGAUCUCGGUCUUAGGUGUAUGUUCGGAUCGGGUUUUGGAUAACCCUGGAGCAUUUCAGUGCCUAAUAGUGAAAGUUGGUUCUUCAAGGAUUUUAAAGUUCUUUAAAUUUGGUUUGGAGCAGGUUUUGGUGUUAUCGAGGUUCGAAUUGAAUUCCAAGACUGGGAAUAGUUCUGUAAUGUCAUUUAAGACCCGCAGGCAAAAUUUGGUGUCAUUCCGAGUAGUAUAAGUACGUUUCGGCGCAUUGGAAGUAAAUUGAAGAACUUGAAGUUCAUAAGUUUGAAUCAAUUGGUUUUAAGGUGUGAUUCCUAGUUUUAAUGUUGUUUCGGGCAUUUGGAGGGUUCGAGCGAGUCUGUUUUAUCAUUCCAAGCAUCUGGGUAUGUUCGGGCGGGACCCCGGGGGCUGGUAAGUUAGGAUUUUAACAUGUUUUAUGCCCCUACUUGCCUAUGCUUUGAUCAUAUAUUGUUACAAAAUAGUCCUAAACGGCUCACAAGUUGUGCUUGAUUGCAGGUUUAAUCGACAAAGUGAUGAAAUUUCAAAGAUCGGCUCAAAAAGGAGUGAAACUUGCUCAAAUAUCAAAAACCAAGAAAUCUAAGGAAAGAAGGCCCAGUGCGGACCGCACAAAGUUGAAUGCGGCCGCACUAGGUGGUUCAGAGAAUUGGUAAACCAGGCUAUAAGAAGCGCGGCCGCGGUACACAUCUUGCGGUCCGCGGUGAAGGCUCCGCGGCCGCACUACUCUUUUAUCCGGUCCGCGGUCAUGAGAUUCAGAGAGAUGAAAGUUUGCAAAGCCAAUGCCAUGCGGUCCACGGUCGUGAUUGCACGGACCGCGCUAGCUCCCUCCGCGGCCGCGGUCCAUUCUACGCGGUCCACUGAGUCUAAAUUCAGAGAAGCAAAAUUCAAAGUCAAAGAGCCCAGUGCGGCUGCGGUCCAUUUAAUGCGCCCGCGCUAACCCUGCAGGGGUAUUUUUGUCCAGUUUUUCUAGCCUAUUAUAAAUAGAAUAUUUUACCAUUUUUUAGAUUAUCAGAUAUAUCAGAGUUGAGUUGCGCUCGUGGGAAUAUCAUUUGUAGCCAUUUUUGGCAUCUUAGCUUCAAAUUAACAAUAGACUCUCUGUAUUUACAUUAGCAUUUAAUUAAUAUGCCUUGUUCUCCAU
Molecule: long non-coding RNA, 10828 nt
Filed under: Nicotiana tabacum (common tobacco)
Lineage: Eukaryota; Viridiplantae; Streptophyta; Magnoliopsida; Solanales; Solanaceae
Description: long non-coding RNA (NTAB_LNC006672)
Source: RNAcentral